CAGGAGAGCUGCAGGCAGCAUCCAGACGAGAUUUGCUGGCCCGCAGGCGCUGCAGCAGGAGUGCAUGGAAAGCUGGUAUCUUCUCACCCUCUGGGAGCUGGGCUGCCCUUGUCUUUUGGUGGGAGAAGAGGAACUGGAGCAGGGGGCAAAUAUCACUGGACAAAGGAGCUGUAAUGGAUCCCAGAUUUUUGCUCAUGCUUGGAUUCAUACAUUCGUCUCUUUCAGCUCCCCUUAAAAGAACUGAGACUGUAUGUGAAGGAAUGUCUGUAAAUAUCUCCUUUAACACCGCUGAGCUAUGUGUUCAACUGAGUAGAAGAGCAGACUCGAACCACACCUGGAGUUCCCCAUGCAUGGUUUGCUUGGAAAAAAGACCUUUAUGCCCUGAAUUCAGAAACAGAUGCAGCGUAUACCUACAUGGCUUGACUCUGCACAACGUGAGCAAAGCCGACGCAGGGAUUUACAACAUUACGCCUCACCUGAAUGGAAACAGAAUUGCCACGAACAUCGUGCACCUGGUGGUGCUGGAUCGCCAGCCAUCCUCCACUCAGGGACCACCCGAUUCUCCUAUAUCUGGGACCACCCGCCCUGAG
Long non-coding RNA from Gopherus flavomarginatus (Mexican gopher tortoise), 590 nucleotides. RefSeq lists it as uncharacterized. The record is from RefSeq and is a predicted model, not a curated record. The transcript has 4 exons. Lineage: Eukaryota; Metazoa; Chordata; Testudines; Testudinidae.